UCCGACUUAGCUCAGUUGGUAGAGCACCUGACUGUUAAUCAGGUUGUCGCCGGUUCGAGCCCGGCAGUCGGAG
Molecule: non-coding RNA, 73 nt
Organism: Leuconostoc mesenteroides subsp. mesenteroides ATCC 8293
Lineage: Bacteria; Bacillati; Bacillota; Bacilli; Lactobacillales; Lactobacillaceae
Source: Rfam